UAAGAAUAAUAAUGUUAUAUAAAGAAGCUGCUAACUUCUUCAUGAGCAAAUCAUAACUGUUCUAUUCUUU
This 70-nucleotide transfer RNA is filed under the name Argonauta nodosus. RNAcentral's name for it is "tRNA-Ser". The record is from RNAcentral. Lineage: Eukaryota; Metazoa; Mollusca; Cephalopoda; Octopoda; Argonautidae.